Molecule: long non-coding RNA, 445 nt
Filed under: Nicotiana benthamiana
Lineage: Eukaryota; Viridiplantae; Streptophyta; Magnoliopsida; Solanales; Solanaceae
Description: long non-coding RNA (NBEN_LNC007069)
Source: RNAcentral
AGCGAUCCUACUUCAACGACCUUCUCGUAAUACGUAAAAAAAGUAUCCCGAUCCUGUAGGAGUGACAGCCGUAGUGGAGAUCGAUGAAGAUCUUUAUUCUUAAAAGAAAGGGCAAGCACCGAAACACAGGAAUGAUCAAAGAGAGGCCUCAGCUGACGCUAAUAAAGCCAAAGAGCAAGAAGGAGGUGAUGAUGUGAUUCCUUAUGUACCUGUGUCUGUGUCGCUUGACAAGUAUACCUAUUAAUCAGUUGACCUCUCUCUAUUUGUGUUUUCUUCUAGGUCGGCUGACCCUGGUCUUCUUUGAGUUUAUGAUAUUCCCCGCUCGUCCGAGCUUUUGUAGGCCGAAGCAAAUGCUUAGAUGAGAAGAAGUCAGAGCAAAAGUCAAAACAAGAAGGACAAAGAAGUCUCUUCCACUCCUCUAGAGGUUGAGGAUGAGGAAGUGAUG